AGCGAACGUUUGCGGCGGGCCUAACACAUGCAAGUCGAACGGGCUGUCCUUCGGGCAGUCAGUGGCGCACGGGUGCGUAACACGUAGGUAAUCAACCCUUGGGUUCGGGAUAACACUGCGAAAGAGGUGCUAAUACCGGAUGCGACGGUCGGGACUUCGGUGCCGAUCGGGAAAGGUCCGCAAGGAUUGCCCGAGGACGAGCCUGCGGCCCAUCAGCUUGUUGGUGAGGUAAAAGCUCACCAAGGCUAAGACGGGUAGCUGGUCUGAGAGGAUGAUCAGCCACACUGGAACUGAGACACGGUCCAGACUCCUACGGGAGGCAGCAGUGGGGAAUAUUGCGCAAUGGACGAAAGUCUGACGCAGCCACGCCGCGUGAGCGAUGAAGGCCCUCGGGUCGUAAAGCUCUGUGGGGAGAGAAGAAUAAAGCCGGUGAAGAGCCGGCCCUGACGGUAUCUCCUUAGCAAGCACCGGCUAACUCCGUGCCAGCAGCCGACGG
RNAcentral lists this ribosomal RNA (496 nucleotides) under uncultured bacterium. RNAcentral describes it as "bacterial SSU rRNA". It matches the Rfam family "Bacterial small subunit ribosomal RNA", at positions 29 to 520 of the family's 1533-position model. The record is from RNAcentral.